This 227-nucleotide ribosomal RNA is filed under the name uncultured Smithella sp. RNAcentral's name for it is "partial 16S ribosomal RNA". It matches the Rfam family "Bacterial small subunit ribosomal RNA", at positions 1157 to 1382 of the family's 1533-position model. Lineage: Bacteria; Pseudomonadati; Thermodesulfobacteriota; Syntrophia; Syntrophales; Smithellaceae. The record is from RNAcentral.
GUUAAACCGGAGGAAGGUGGGAUGACGUCAAGUCCUCAUGGCCUUUAUGCUUAGGGCUACACACGUGCUACAAUGGGUGGUACAAAGAGCAGCCAACUCGCGAGAGCGCGCUAAAUCUCAAAAAAGCCAUCCUCAGUUCGGAUUGGAGUCUGCAACUCGACUCCAUGAAGUUGGAAUCGCUAGUAAUCGCGGAUCAGCAUGCCGCGGUCGAAUACGUUCCGGGCCUU